This 31-nucleotide transfer RNA is filed under the name Solanum piluliferum. RNAcentral describes it as "partial tRNA-Phe". Lineage: Eukaryota; Viridiplantae; Streptophyta; Magnoliopsida; Solanales; Solanaceae. The record is from RNAcentral.
UUCCAAUCCAGAUUGGUAGGAUAGAGGACUG